CACUCAAACAUACACAGAGGUCUACAGGGAUCACACAGGUUCCACAAGGUCCCUACUAAGACAAUUCUUUGUUCAGUGAGGUAUUGCUGCUCCUCUGGACCCCACUGUGAAGAGCUUGAUGCAAAGAGCAGCUCAUCCCACAAAGCUUGGAGAAGGCAACAGUAGAAAUGGUUAAGAGUAGAUCAUCAAAAUGGUACAAAAAUAAAUGGAUUCAUUGUGCCAUAAGAUGACAAGAAGAUAAAACUUGCUUGUUGUGGCUCAGAACAAGGAUCCAUCUGGCUCAGUAUCAGAAGAUGGAGGUUCAUGGGAUAGGAUAAUGGGGUGAUGUGGGAUAGCUGAAGAUGCCCAGAAGAGCAUAAAGAAAUACAGGAAACACACAGCGACACUUCCUCAGGGUACCUCCCACACCUCCUGCAGUUUCCUGUUAAAUCUGCACAUAGACUCAUGGAAUAGCUCAAGCUGGAAAGGGCCCAUAACCAUCAUCAAGUCCAACUCCCUGCUCUUCACAGGACUACCUAAAGCAAAUUCCUGUGGCUAGAGGGUCAACCAGAUGCUCCUUGAACUCUGACAGACAUUUGCAACAGUUAUUGGAAAAACAAAAGUUUUUCAAUAAUUUUUUGAAACCUUGAAAAAAUUUA
Molecule: long non-coding RNA, 638 nt
Organism: Vidua chalybeata
Lineage: Eukaryota; Metazoa; Chordata; Aves; Passeriformes; Viduidae
Exons: 3
Source: RefSeq, a predicted model, not a curated record